Molecule: long non-coding RNA, 675 nt
Filed under: Homo sapiens (human)
Lineage: Eukaryota; Metazoa; Chordata; Mammalia; Primates; Hominidae
Description: LNC_000063
Source: RNAcentral
GGGGAGAGUGAUAGACAAAGUUCUGGAUUCUGGGCAUCGUCGGCGCAUGCUUGUAAUCCUACUUGGGAGGUUGAGACAGGAGGAUCACUUGAGGCUAGGAGUUGGAGGCUGCAGUGUACUAUGUUCGCAUCUGUGAAUAGCCACUGCACUCUAGCCUGGACAAUAUAGUGAGAACCCAUCUCAAAAAAAAAAAAAAAAAAAAAAAGGCAAAGUUCUAGAUCCUAACUGGAAGAGUUAGGCCAAGAAGGAAGAAGAGGUUCUGGGAGCUGCUGGCUACUCCUCAUCCUCCUCACUAUCGAGAUACUUGUGGGUGGCGUAGCCCAUCAGGGCACCAAUAUUACCUAUGACGACGCUGCUGCCACCAGCCCCGAGGCUCUGCAGCGUGGCCACUAGCCCCCCGGCGGGCACGCCGCCCCCAUUCAGGAUCGCAGACCAGCUCAUCAGCGAGGCAGCCACCGAGUUGGCCGCGAUGCCGGCGCCGGUGAAGCCCAGCGCGGGCAGCCCGGCGACUGCGAGUCCUCCUCCGACGGCCAUGAAGGUCAGGGCCUUCCAGAACCCGGAGCCGCUGUCCGAGCUCUCCGAGCACUUUUUCUUACCUGCCUCCACCCCACUGCAAGUGAAGAGCAGCAGGUAGCACAAGAAAAGCGAUACCGCCUUCUGCCGCAUGGUGGCGCC